This 443-nucleotide ribosomal RNA is filed under the name uncultured bacterium. RNAcentral's name for it is "partial 16S ribosomal RNA". It matches the Rfam family "Bacterial small subunit ribosomal RNA", at positions 338 to 795 of the family's 1533-position model. The record is from RNAcentral.
ACUACGGGGUGCAGCAGUGGGGAAUAUUGGGCAAUGGGCGCAAGCCUGACCCAGCAACGCCGCGUGAAGGAAGAAGGCUUUCGGGUUGUAAACUUCUUUUCUCAGGGACGAAGAAAGUGACGGUACCUGAGGAAUAAGCCACGGCUAACUACGUGCCAGCAGCCGCGGUAAUACGUAGGUGGCAAGCGUUAUCCGGAUUUAUUGGGUGUAAAGGGCGUGUAGGCGGGAGCGCAAGUCAGAUGGGAAAACUCAGGGCUCAACCCUGGGCCUGCAUUUGAAACUGUGUUUCUUGAGUGCUGGAGAGGCAAGCGGAAUUCCGUGUGUAGCGGUGAAAUGCGUAGAUAUACGGAGGAACACCAGUGGCGAAGGCGGAUUGCUGGACAGUAACUGACGCUGAGGCGCGAAAGCGUGGGGAGCAAACAGGAUUAGAUACCCCUGUAGUC